GAUGAACGCUGGCGGCGUGCCUAAUACAUGCAAGUCGAGCGAACAGAUGAGGAGCUUGCUCCUCUGACAUUAUCGGCGGACGGGUGAGUAACACGUGGAUAACCUACCUAUAAGACUGGGAUAACUUCGGGAAACCGGAGCUAAUACCGGAUAAUAUAUUGAACCGCAUGGUUCAAUAGUGAAAGACGGUUUUGCUGUCACUUAUAGAUGGAUCCGCGCCGCAUUAGCUAGUUGGUAAGGUAACGGCUUACCAAGGCAACGAUGCGUAGCCGACCUGAGAGGGUGAUCGGCCACCCGGGAAGUGAGACAGGGUCGAGACUCCUACGGGAGGCAGCAGUAGGGAAUCUUACGCAAUGGGGGAAAGCGUGACGGAGCAACGCCGCGUGAGUGAUGAAGGUGUUCGGAUCGUAAAGCUAUGUUAUUAGGGAAGAACAAAUGUGUAAGUAACUAUGCACGUCUUGACGGUACCUAAUCAGAAAGCCACGGCUAACUACGUG
This 497-nucleotide ribosomal RNA is filed under the name uncultured bacterium. RNAcentral describes it as "partial 16S ribosomal RNA". It matches the Rfam family "Bacterial small subunit ribosomal RNA", at positions 28 to 507 of the family's 1533-position model. The record is from RNAcentral.